RNAcentral lists this transfer RNA (56 nucleotides) under Schistocephalus solidus. It matches the Rfam family "tRNA", at positions 8 to 63 of the family's 71-position model. Rfam says of the family: Transfer RNA (tRNA) molecules are approximately 80 nucleotides in length. Their secondary structure includes four short double-helical elements and three loops (D, anti-codon, and T loops). Further hydrogen bonds mediate the characteristic L-shaped molecular structure. tRNAs have two regions of fundamental functional importance: the anti-codon, which is responsible for specific mRNA codon recognition, and the 3' end, to which the tRNAs corresponding amino acid is attached (by aminoacyl-tRNA synthetases). tRNAs cope with the degeneracy of the genetic code in two manners: having more than one tRNA (with a specific anti-codon) for a particular amino acid; and 'wobble' base-pairing, i.e. permitting non-standard base-pairing at the 3rd anti-codon position. The record is from Rfam by way of RNAcentral. Lineage: Eukaryota; Metazoa; Platyhelminthes; Cestoda; Diphyllobothriidea; Diphyllobothriidae.
UGGCUCAAUGGUUAGAGCGUUUGACUUGUGAUCAACAGGUCGGGGUUUGAGCCUCG